UACGGGGGGAGCAAGCGUUGUUCGGAAUUACUGGGCGUAAAGCGUGCGCAGGCGGUUUCUUAAGUCAGAUGUGAAAGCCCCGGGCUUAACCUGGGAACUGCGUUUGAAACUGGGAGGCUUGAGUGUGGCAGAGGGGGGUGGAAUUCCACGUGUAGCAGUGAAAUGCGUAGAUAUGUGGAGGAACACCGAUGGCGAAGGCGGCAUCCUGGACCGACACUGACGCUGAUGCGCGAAAGCCAGGGGAGCAAACGGG
RNAcentral lists this ribosomal RNA (253 nucleotides) under uncultured bacterium. Its description in RNAcentral is "partial 16S ribosomal RNA". It matches the Rfam family "Bacterial small subunit ribosomal RNA", at positions 524 to 776 of the family's 1533-position model. The record is from RNAcentral.